This 1047-nucleotide ribosomal RNA is filed under the name Mycolicibacterium mucogenicum. RNAcentral describes it as "bacterial SSU rRNA". It matches the Rfam family "Bacterial small subunit ribosomal RNA", at positions 69 to 1136 of the family's 1533-position model. The record is from RNAcentral. Lineage: Bacteria; Bacillati; Actinomycetota; Actinomycetes; Mycobacteriales; Mycobacteriaceae.
GAAGGNCCUUCGGGGUACUCGAGUGGCGAACGGGUGAGUAACACGUGGGUGAUCUGCCCUGCACUUUGGGAUAAGCCUGGGAAACUGGGUCUAAUACCGAAUAGGACCACGCGCUUCAUGGUGUGUGGUGGAAAGCUUUUGCGGUGUGGGAUGGGCCCGCGGCCUAUCAGCUUGUUGGUGGGGUAAUGGCCUACCAAGGCGACGACGGGUAGCCGGCCUGAGAGGGUGACCGGCCACACUGGGACUGAGAUACGGCCCAGACUCCUACGGGAGGCAGCAGUGGGGAAUAUUGCACAAUGGGCGCAAGCCUGAUGCAGCGACGCCGCGUGAGGGAUGACGGCCUUCGGGUUGUAAACCUCUUUCAAUAGGGACGAAGCGCAAGUGACGGUACCUAUAGAAGAAGCACCGGCCAACUACGUGCCAGCAGCCGCGGUAAUACGUAGGGUGCGAGCGUUGUCCGGAAUUACUGGGCGUAAAGAGCUCGUAGGUGGUUUGUCGCGUUGUUCGUGAAAACUCACAGCUUAACUGUGGGCGUGCGGGCGAUACGGGCAGACUAGAGUACUGCAGGGGAGACUGGAAUUCCUGGUGUAGCGGUGGAAUGCGCAGAUAUCAGGAGGAACACCGGUGGCGAANGCGGGUCUCUGGGCAGUAACUGACGCUGAGGAGCGAAAGCGUNNNAGCGAACAGGAUUAGAUACCCUGGUAGUCCACGCCGUAAACGGUGGGUACUANGUGUGGGUUCCUUCCUUGGGAUCCGUGCCGUANCUAACGCAUUAAGUACCCCGCCUGGGGAGUACGGCCGCAAGGCUAAAACUCAAAGGAAUUGACGGGGGCCCGCACAAGCGGCGGANCAUGUGGAUUAAUUCGAUGCNACGCGAAGAACCUUACCUGGGUUUGANNUGCACAGGANGCCGGCNNANAUGUCGGUUCCCUUGUGGNCUGUGUGCAGGUGGNGCAUGGCUGUCNUCAGCUCGNGUCGUGAGAUGUUGGGUUAANUCCCGCAACGAGCGCAACCCUUGUCCUAUGUUGCCAGCGGGUUAUGCCGGGG